Molecule: ribosomal RNA, 722 nt
Filed under: uncultured Methylibium sp.
Lineage: Bacteria; Pseudomonadati; Pseudomonadota; Betaproteobacteria; Burkholderiales; Sphaerotilaceae
Description: bacterial SSU rRNA
Rfam family: Bacterial small subunit ribosomal RNA
Source: RNAcentral
GAACGGCAGCACGGGAGCAAUCCUGGUGGCGAGUGGCGAACGGGUGAGUAAUACAUCGGAACGUGCCCAGUAGUGGGGGAUAGCCCGGCGAAAGCCGGAUUAAUACCGCAUACGACCUACGGGUGAAAGCGGGGGAUCGCAAGACCUCGCGCUAUUGGAGCGGCCGAUGUCAGAUUAGCUAGUUGGUGGGGUAAAGGCCUACCAAGGCGACGAUCUGUAGCUGGUCUGAGAGGACGACCAGCCACACUGGGACUGAGACACGGCCCAGACUCCUACGGGAGGCAGCAGUGGGGAAUUUUGGACAAUGGGGGCAACCCUGAUCCAGCCAUGCCGCGUGCGGGAAGAAGGCCUUCGGGUUGUAAACCGCUUUUGUCAGGGAAGAAACGCUCUGGGCUAAUACCCCGGAGUAAUGACGGUACCUGAAGAAUAAGCACCGGCUAACUACGUGCCAGCAGCCGCGGUAAUACGUAGGGUGCAAGCGUUAAUCGGAAUUACUGGGCGUAAAGCGUGCGCAGGCGGCUUUGCAAGACAGAUGUGAAAUCCCCGGGCUUAACCUGGGAACUGCAUUUGUGACUGCAUGGCUGGAGUGCGGCAGAGGGGGAUGGAAUUCCGCGUGUAGCAUGAAAUGCGUAGAUAUGCGGAGGAACACCGAUGGCGAAGGCAAUCCCCUGGGCCUGCACUGACGCUCAUGCACGAAAGCGUGGGGAGCAAACAGGAUUAGA